UUGGAGGGCAAGUCUGGUGCCAGCAGCCGCGGUAAUUCCAGCUCCAAUAGCGUAUAUUAAAGUUGCUGCAGUUAAAAAGCUCGUAGUUGAAUUUCGGGACCAUCAUGUCGGUCGUGCCUCGGUACGUACUGGUAUUGUUGGUUUCUCCCUUCUGACGAACCAUGAUGUCAUUUAUUUGGUGUUGUGGGGAAUCAGGACUGUUACUUUGAAAAAAUUAGAGUGUUUAAAGCAGGCUCACGCUUGAAUACAUUAGCAUGGAAUAAUGAAAUAGGACGUUUGAUUCUAUUUUGUUGGUUUCUAGGAUCGACGUAAUGAUUAAUAGGGAUAGUUGGGGGCAUUAGUAUUCAAUUGUCAGAGGUGAAAUUCUUGGAUUUAUUGAAGACUAACUACUGCGAAAGCAUUUGCCAAGGAUGUUUUCAUUAAUCAAGAACGAAAGUUAGGGGAUCGAAGACGAUCAGAUACCGUCGUAGUCUUAACCAUAAACUAUGCCGACUAGGGAUCGGAUGAUGUUAAUUUUAUAAUGACUCAUUCGGCGCCUUACGGGAAAC
RNAcentral lists this ribosomal RNA (548 nucleotides) under uncultured Glomeraceae. RNAcentral describes it as "SSU rRNA". It matches the Rfam family "Eukaryotic small subunit ribosomal RNA", at positions 548 to 1098 of the family's 1831-position model. Lineage: Eukaryota; Fungi; Glomeromycota; Glomeromycetes; Glomerales; Glomeraceae. The record is from RNAcentral.